CUUGGUGGUGGCUUCUGAUGCUCAUGUUUGGAGACGCACCAUAAAAGGUGCCGGGGCUUCUCCCGUUUUAAGAGAGACGGGAGAAGG
This 87-nucleotide transfer RNA is filed under the name Cyrtodactylus intermedius. Its description in RNAcentral is "tRNA-Cys". The record is from RNAcentral. Lineage: Eukaryota; Metazoa; Chordata; Lepidosauria; Squamata; Gekkonidae.